CAGUAGCCGCGGUAACACGAAGGGGGCUAGCGUUGUUCGGAUUUACUGGGCGUAAAGCGCACGUAGGCGGACUUUUAAGUCAGGGGUGAAAUCCCGGGGCUCAACCCCGGAACUGCCUUUGAUACUGGAAGUCUUGAGUAUGGUAGAGGUGAGUGGAAUUCCGAGUGUAGAGGUGAAAUUCGUAGAUAUUCGGAGGAACACCAGUGGCGAAGGCGGCUCACUGGUCCAUUACUGACGCUGAGGUGCGAAAGCGUGGGGAGCAAACAGGAUUAGAUACCCCUGUAGUCCCUGUCUCUUAUAC
This 301-nucleotide ribosomal RNA is filed under the name uncultured bacterium. Its description in RNAcentral is "partial 16S ribosomal RNA". It matches the Rfam family "Bacterial small subunit ribosomal RNA", at positions 509 to 807 of the family's 1533-position model. The record is from RNAcentral.